RNAcentral lists this ribosomal RNA (495 nucleotides) under uncultured bacterium. RNAcentral's name for it is "partial 16S ribosomal RNA". It matches the Rfam family "Bacterial small subunit ribosomal RNA", at positions 28 to 507 of the family's 1533-position model. The record is from RNAcentral.
GACGAACGCUGGCGGCGUGCCUAAUACAUGCAAGUCGAACGCUGAAGGAGGAGCUUGCUCUUCUGGAUGAGUUGCGAACGGGUGAGUAACGCGUAGGUAACCUGCCUGGUAGCGGGGGAUAACUAUUGGAAACGAUAGCUAAUACCGCAUAAGAGUAGAUGUUGCAUGACAUUUACUUAAAAGGUGCAAUUGCAUCACUACCAGAUGGACCUGCGUUGUAUUAGCUAGUUGGUGGGGUAACGGCUUACCAAGGCGACGAUACAUAGCCGACCUGAGAGGGUGAUCGGCCACACUGGGACUGAGACACGGCCCAGACUCCUACGGGAGGCAGCAGUAGGGAAUCUUCGGCAAUGGACGGAAGGCUGACCGAGCAACGCCGCGUGAGUGAAGAAGGGUUUCGGAUCGUAAAGCUCGGUUGUAAGAGAAGAACGAGUGUGAGAGUGGAAAGUUCACACUGUGACGGUAUCUGACCAGAAAGGGACGGCUAACUACGUG